UACGGAGGGUGCAAGCGUUGUCCGGAAUCAUUGGGCGUAAAGGGCGUGUAGGCGGCCUUGCAAGUCCGACGUGAAAUCCCUCGGCUCAACCGGGGAAGUGCGUUGGAUACUGCGAGGCUUGAGUGCGGGAGAGGAAGGUGGAAUUCCCAGUGUAGCGGUGAAAUGCGUAGAUAUUGGGAGGAACACCGGUUGCGAAGGCGGCCUUCUGGACCGCCACUGACGCUGAGACGCGAAAGCGUGGGGAGCAAACAGG
This 253-nucleotide ribosomal RNA is filed under the name uncultured bacterium. RNAcentral describes it as "partial 16S ribosomal RNA". It matches the Rfam family "Bacterial small subunit ribosomal RNA", at positions 524 to 776 of the family's 1533-position model. The record is from RNAcentral.